RNAcentral lists this ribosomal RNA (206 nucleotides) under uncultured bacterium. RNAcentral's name for it is "partial 16S ribosomal RNA". It matches the Rfam family "Bacterial small subunit ribosomal RNA", at positions 568 to 774 of the family's 1533-position model. The record is from RNAcentral.
CGCGUAGGCGGGUCAGCCAGUCCGGGGUGAAAUCCUUCGGCUUAACCGGAGAACUGCCUCGGAGACGACUGAUCUGGAGGGAGGUAGGGGUCGCUGGAACUUCCGGUGGAGCGGUGAAAUGCGUUGAUAUCGGAAGGAACGCCGGUGGCGAAAGCGAGCGACUGGACCUUUACUGACGCUGAGGCGCGAAAGCCAGGGAGCAAACG